RNAcentral lists this ribosomal RNA (1596 nucleotides) under Escherichia coli 3-020-07_S4_C3. Its description in RNAcentral is "bacterial LSU rRNA". It matches the Rfam family "Bacterial large subunit ribosomal RNA", at positions 1349 to 2925 of the family's 2925-position model. The record is from RNAcentral. Lineage: Bacteria; Pseudomonadati; Pseudomonadota; Gammaproteobacteria; Enterobacterales; Enterobacteriaceae.
GGGUUCCUGUCCAACGUUAAUCGGGGCAGGGUGAGUCGACCCCUAAGGCGAGGCCGAAAGGCGUAGUCGAUGGGAAACAGGUUAAUAUUCCUGUACUUGGUGUUACUGCGAAGGGGGGACGGAGAAGGCUAUGUUGGCCGGGCGACGGUUGUCCCGGUUUAAGCGUGUAGGCUGGUUUUCCAGGCAAAUCCGGAAAAUCAAGGCUGAGGCGUGAUGACGAGGCACUACGGUGCUGAAGCAACAAAUGCCCUGCUUCCAGGAAAAGCCUCUAAGCAUCAGGUAACAUCAAAUCGUACCCCAAACCGACACAGGUGGUCAGGUAGAGAAUACCAAGGCGCUUGAGAGAACUCGGGUGAAGGAACUAGGCAAAAUGGUGCCGUAACUUCGGGAGAAGGCACGCUGAUAUGUAGGUGAAGUCCCUCGCGGAUGGAGCUGAAAUCAGUCGAAGAUACCAGCUGGCUGCAACUGUUUAUUAAAAACACAGCACUGUGCAAACACGAAAGUGGACGUAUACGGUGUGACGCCUGCCCGGUGCCGGAAGGUUAAUUGAUGGGGUCAGCGCAAGCGAAGCUCUUGAUCGAAGCCCCGGUAAACGGCGGCCGUAACUAUAACGGUCCUAAGGUAGCGAAAUUCCUUGUCGGGUAAGUUCCGACCUGCACGAAUGGCGUAAUGAUGGCCAGGCUGUCUCCACCCGAGACUCAGUGAAAUUGAACUCGCUGUGAAGAUGCAGUGUACCCGCGGCAAGACGGAAAGACCCCGUGAACCUUUACUAUAGCUUGACACUGAACAUUGAGCCUUGAUGUGUAGGAUAGGUGGGAGGCUUUGAAGUGUGGACGCCAGUCUGCAUGGAGCCGACCUUGAAAUACCACCCUUUAAUGUUUGAUGUUCUAACGUGGACCCGUGAUCCGGGUUGCGGACAGUGUCUGGUGGGUAGUUUGACUGGGGCGGUCUCCUCCUAAAGAGUAACGGAGGAGCACGAAGGUUGGCUAAUCCUGGUCGGACAUCAGGAGGUUAGUGCAAUGGCAUAAGCCAGCUUGACUGCGAGCGUGACGGCGCGAGCAGGUGCGAAAGCAGGUCAUAGUGAUCCGGUGGUUCUGAAUGGAAGGGCCAUCGCUCAACGGAUAAAAGGUACUCCGGGGAUAACAGGCUGAUACCGCCCAAGAGUUCAUAUCGACGGCGGUGUUUGGCACCUCGAUGUCGGCUCAUCACAUCCUGGGGCUGAAGUAGGUCCCAAGGGUAUGGCUGUUCGCCAUUUAAAGUGGUACGCGAGCUGGGUUUAGAACGUCGUGAGACAGUUCGGUCCCUAUCUGCCGUGGGCGCUGGAGAACUGAGGGGGGCUGCUCCUAGUACGAGAGGACCGGAGUGGACGCAUCACUGGUGUUCGGGUUGUCAUGCCAAUGGCACUGCCCGGUAGCUAAAUGCGGAAGAGAUAAGUGCUGAAAGCAUCUAAGCACGAAACUUGCCCCGAGAUGAGUUCUCCCUGACUCCUUGAGAGUCCUGAAGGAACGUUGAAGACGACGACGUUGAUAGGCCGGGUGUGUAAGCGCAGCGAUGCGUUGAGCUAACCGGUACUAAUGAACCGUGAGGCUUAACCUU